Molecule: long non-coding RNA, 614 nt
Filed under: Neodiprion lecontei (redheaded pine sawfly)
Lineage: Eukaryota; Metazoa; Arthropoda; Insecta; Hymenoptera; Diprionidae
Description: uncharacterized LOC124293095
Source: RNAcentral
CAAAGUUCGGACGUCCAAAUGGUAUGUUCCGCAUUCGGAUUCCAUCCUGCAAAUCCAUAUUGUCGAUAUUUACCAGUGAAGAUAGGAUCUAGAUAUGAAUUUAUAGGAUCUGGUAGAAAUCUAUUCAGCAAUGGAGAUCUUGAAUAUUUCGCAGAAGUAAUCAGUAGGCUAACGUCACGUCAUAAGCUCACCUGGCUGUAUGGUCAUGGUCAGGUAGCAUCAAUGUUUUGGAUCACCUGAAUCCUGGAGGAACAUCUUCUCGGUACCAAGGUCGGGCGACUUUUCCAGUGCGUAUUGCGGUAGCAGUUUAAGCACAAAAGGGAUGGAGAUUGCUGUUGCGGUACGAGAAUCCAUCCUCGCUAAGACCAGAAAAUCUCACAUCAAUAAAGCAAACCAACUAAACUUGAGCUUCUGGGCAUAAAAGGUGAAGCCCAAACUAAUGGAAAUUAAAGCUAUCUAUCAUCAAAAUUUAUCUUGAUCACAACAUACUAUCCGUGAAUGCGAGCAAGAUAGUCUGUAUAUCUUCUGCUAGAUAUAAAGUUAAUUUUCAGUCUAUUUCGAGUUGGAAGUGUUUUGGAAGGUCGGUAUUUUGACCAUUGGUAAAUUGACCAAAG